This is a non-coding RNA of Ixodes scapularis (black-legged tick), 73 nucleotides long. The record is from Rfam. NCBI's taxonomy places the organism in Eukaryota, Metazoa, Arthropoda, Arachnida, Ixodida, Ixodidae.
UCCUAGUUAGCUCACUUGGUAGAGCGUUUCACUGUAAAUGGGGAGGUCCCUGGUCCGACACCAGGACCAGGCG